Molecule: transfer RNA, 77 nt
Filed under: Allochromatium vinosum
Lineage: Bacteria; Pseudomonadati; Pseudomonadota; Gammaproteobacteria; Chromatiales; Chromatiaceae
Also listed under: 96 other names
Description: tRNA-Arg
Rfam family: tRNA
About the family: Transfer RNA (tRNA) molecules are approximately 80 nucleotides in length. Their secondary structure includes four short double-helical elements and three loops (D, anti-codon, and T loops).
Source: RNAcentral
GCGCCCGUAGCUCAGCUGGAUAGAGUACCUGGCUACGAACCAGGUGGUCGGAGGUUCGAAUCCUUCCGGGCGCGCCA